GUGGAUUAGAUACCCUGGUAGUCCACGCUGUAAACGAUGAAUACUAGGUGUGGGGGGACUAACCCCCUCCGUGCCGGAGUUAACACAAUAAGUAUUCCACCUGGGGAGUACGGCCGCAAGGUUGAAACUCAAAGGAAUUGACGGGGGCCCGCACAAGCAGUGGAUUAUGUGGUUUAAUUCGAAGCAACGCGAAGAACCUUACCAGGGCUUGACAUCCUACUAACGAAGCAGAGAUGCAUUAGGUGCCCUUCGGGGAAAGUAGAGACAGGUGGUGCAUGGCUGUCGACAACU
Molecule: ribosomal RNA, 291 nt
Filed under: uncultured bacterium
Lineage: Bacteria
Description: partial 16S ribosomal RNA
Rfam family: Bacterial small subunit ribosomal RNA
Source: RNAcentral